Molecule: ribosomal RNA, 253 nt
Filed under: uncultured bacterium
Lineage: Bacteria
Description: partial 16S ribosomal RNA
Rfam family: Bacterial small subunit ribosomal RNA
Source: RNAcentral
UACGUAGGGUGCAAGCGUUGUCCGGAAUUAUUGGGCGUAAAGAGCUCGUAGGCGGUUUGUCGCGUCUGCUGUGAAAACUCGGGGCUUAACCCCGGGCCUGCAGUGGGUACGGGCAGACUAGAGUGCGGUAGGGGAGACUGGAAUUGCCGGUGUAGUGGUGAAAUGCGUAGAGAUCGGCAGGAACACCCAGGGGGAAACCAGCCGCCUGGGCAUGCGCUGACGCUGAGGUGCGAGAGCGUGGGGAGCGAACCGG